UUGCUCUAGCACAUAUACCUAGAGUAAAAUCCAUACCCGAUUGAGCUUUAAUACAUAUACUUAGAGCUCAUGCAAAUCAAAUCCCACGAACCCUAACAUAAUACUUUGGUUAGAUCCUCACUCUAGCAUAUAUAACUAGAGUGAAAAAUAUAUUAAACUCGGUUAAUCCUGAUACAUACAGUCAGAAAUUAACCGUUCUCUACUUUCGGAUAAUAUCAAAUUCGACCUAUCUCAAAACAUAUACUUGGGGUACGGUCGCAUCUCCACCUUGGAAUAUACAACCAAAGUAAAUAUAAUUGGACUCUAAGACAUAUACUUAGAGUCAAUUAGACUCUAAUACAUAGAGUUUAAGAUUGACUAGGUCUUAACACACAUACUUAGGACCUAGUUAAUCUCAAAUCCAAUUGAAUCCUAAUACAUAUACUUAUGAUUCAAUAAACCAAAAUAUGAUUCAUUCAAUCCCAUCUAUAAAGGUCUCUUAAUCGAAGGUACCCCAAUGCCACAGGGGGUAAUUAUCAAUAGAUGCUUGCAUCUAUUGGAAGCCAUGAACCUGCAAUAUCUGAUACCCAUAUACAUAUACGUACUAAUCUGAAUCAUGAAUACUACCCUACGGCAAAACCCAUCGACAAUGCGAGGUGCGUCAUUCGCGGUGGCAGACAAGCGCUCCCCCUACUGUAGUUUCUUUAAAUCCUCUUCGAGUUUCUGUUUCACGCUGUUUGGGAAAUACACCCCAUACAGCAUUCCGCAGAACUUAUCCUACUUCAUCUGCAACGCCACCAACCGUCGAGUACCCCUCAUCCUCCUCCACCAAGCAUGCGUAUUACCAGCCAAACAAUGCACUCCCAGAUAUACCUGCUCCCGCUCUGGUAUAAAUAAGUCCUCGAAUAACUUCUCCAUCGCGCUCACCCAGCCCUCUACAACCCA
Molecule: long non-coding RNA, 924 nt
Filed under: Ananas comosus (pineapple)
Lineage: Eukaryota; Viridiplantae; Streptophyta; Magnoliopsida; Poales; Bromeliaceae
Description: long non-coding RNA (ACOM_LNC014806)
Source: RNAcentral